RNAcentral lists this ribosomal RNA (495 nucleotides) under uncultured bacterium. Its description in RNAcentral is "bacterial SSU rRNA". It matches the Rfam family "Bacterial small subunit ribosomal RNA", at positions 8 to 507 of the family's 1533-position model. The record is from RNAcentral.
AGAGUUUGAUCAUGGCUCAGAUUGAACGCUGGCGGCAGGCCUAACACAUGCAAGUCGAGCGGGGGUAGCAAUACCCUAGCGGCGAACGGGUGAGGAAUGCUUGGGAAUCUGCCUGGUAGUGGGGGGAUAACGUUCCGAAAGGAACGCUAAUACCGCAUACGUCCUACGGGAGAAAGGGGGGGAUCUUCGGACCUCUCGCUAUCAGAUGAGCCCAAGCCGGAUUAGCUAGUUGGUGGGGUAAAGGCCCACCAAGGCGACGAUCCGUAGCUGGUCUGAGAGGAUGAUCAGCCACACUGGAACUGAGACACGGUCCAGACUCCUACGGGAGGCAGCAGUGGGGAAUAUUGGACAAUGGGCGAAAGCCUGAUCCAGCCAUGCCGCGUGUGUGAAGAAGGCCUUCGGGUUGUAAAGCACUUUAAGCGGGGAGGAAGGUUCGCUACUUAAUACGUAGCGGAAUUGACGUUACCCGCAGAAUAAGCACCGGCUAACUCUGUG